UAGCCGUAAACGAUACUCGCUAGGCGUCGGCCACGGUGCGACCGUUGUCGGUGCCGUAGGGAAGCCGUGAAGCGAGCCACCUGGGAAGUACGGCCGCAAGGCUGAAACUUAAAGGAAUUGGCGGGGGAGCACAACAACGGGUGGAGCUUGCGGUUUAAUUGGAUUCAACGCCGGAAAUCUUACCGGGACCGACAGCAACAUGAAGGCCAAGCUGAAGACUUUGCCGGAUUAGCUGAGAGGAGGUGCAUGGCGUCAGUGACU
This 261-nucleotide ribosomal RNA is filed under the name uncultured archaeon. RNAcentral describes it as "partial 16S ribosomal RNA". It matches the Rfam family "Archaeal small subunit ribosomal RNA", at positions 748 to 1008 of the family's 1478-position model. The record is from RNAcentral.